ACACGAUUAGCUAAGUGGUAAAGCGCCGAGCUUAUAUCUCGGAGAUCCGCAGGUCCGAAUCCUGCAUCGUGUACCA
This 76-nucleotide transfer RNA is filed under the name bacterium. RNAcentral describes it as "tRNA-Ile". It matches the Rfam family "tRNA". From Rfam's summary of the family: Transfer RNA (tRNA) molecules are approximately 80 nucleotides in length. Their secondary structure includes four short double-helical elements and three loops (D, anti-codon, and T loops). The record is from RNAcentral.